UCCGUAGGUGAACCUGCGGAGGGAUCAUUACCGAGAGAGGGCGCCUCGCGCGCCCGACCUCCCAACCCCUGUACGAACAAACACUGUUGCCUCGGGGGCCGACCCGGUCGCCCCGGAGGACCACUUCAAAAAUCUGCAUCUCUGCGUCGGAGUAUUGAAGCAAAUCAAUCAAAACUUUCAACAACGGAUCUCUUGGUUCUCGCAUCGAUGAAGAACGCAGCGAAAUGCGAUAAGUAAUGUGAAUUGCAGAAUUCAGUGAAUCAUCGAAUCUUUGAACGCACAUUGCGCCCCUUGGUAUUCCGGGGGGCAUGCCCGUUCGAGCGUCAUUACACCACUCGAGCCUGGCUCGGUGUUGGGCGAUGGGACCGCACCCGCGCCCCUAUUCUACCGGCAGGACGGUUGGAUCCUCAGCGUUGUGAAUCAAACUCGCUCGGGGUGAAGGUCGGCCGCGCUGUUAAACCAUUCCAUUCAGGUUGACCUCGGAUCGGGUAGGGAUACCCGCUGAACUUAA
This 511-nucleotide ribosomal RNA is filed under the name uncultured fungus. RNAcentral's name for it is "eukaryotic LSU rRNA". The stretch from base 173 to 326 matches the Rfam family "5.8S ribosomal RNA". The record is from RNAcentral. Lineage: Eukaryota; Fungi.